This 253-nucleotide ribosomal RNA is filed under the name uncultured bacterium. RNAcentral's name for it is "partial 16S ribosomal RNA". It matches the Rfam family "Bacterial small subunit ribosomal RNA", at positions 524 to 776 of the family's 1533-position model. The record is from RNAcentral.
UACGAAGGGGGCUAGCGUUGCUCGGAAUUACUGGGCGUAAAGGGCGCGUAGGCGGAUGUUUAAGUCAGCGGUGAAAGCCCAGGGCUCAACCUUGGAACUGCCAUUGAUACUGGACAUCUUGAGUACGGGAGAGGUGAGUGGAACACCGAGUGUAGAGGUGAAAUUCGUAGAUAUUCGCAAGAACACCAGUGGCGAAGGCGGCUCACUGGUCCGGUUCUGACGCUGAGGCGCGAAAGCGUGGGGAGCAAACAGG